CUUGUCUCCCUCAUUUAAGAGGCAUCGGCUUUCAAAGGAGAAGAAGAGGAGGAUGAGGAGGCUGAAGAGGUUUGUGUUUGCAGGACCGGUGGAGUCAGGAGCAGAACAUGUUUGUCACGGUGCUGCUCGGUGGUUAGUAGAGUUUCUGGAUUAUGUUCUUGUUGCUUUUAUUGUUGUAAUGUAAAAUGUAACCGUUAACACUGUUGAUGUUGAGUAUAAUUGUUGUUCUUACUAUCAAAUAAUCAAAGCUUAAUGUGUUUU
Molecule: long non-coding RNA, 261 nt
Organism: Gasterosteus aculeatus aculeatus (three-spined stickleback)
Lineage: Eukaryota; Metazoa; Chordata; Actinopteri; Perciformes; Gasterosteidae
Source: Ensembl